This 272-nucleotide long non-coding RNA is filed under the name Gossypium barbadense (sea-island cotton). RNAcentral describes it as "long non-coding RNA (GBAR_LNC007496)". Lineage: Eukaryota; Viridiplantae; Streptophyta; Magnoliopsida; Malvales; Malvaceae. The record is from RNAcentral.
UGUAAUGGUUGAGGCUCAUGUUGUUCCUGUUGUGGUUCAAACAUGUGGGGAUUGUGGUAAACGCCAUUCGGGUGAAUGUUAGAGAAGGUUGGCAGCUUGUCUGCGAUGUGAGUCGAUGGAGCACCGCAUUAAGGAUUUUCCACAGUGCUCUGAUCAGGUGUAAGCCUUAGCUCUAAGUACAGUUCAACCUCAACGAGCAGUUUAGUAGCCACCUAGGGGUUGUGCUCACCAAGGGUGGUAACAAAAUGGGUAUAGGUUAGAGUGCACUGGGC